Molecule: ribosomal RNA, 265 nt
Filed under: uncultured bacterium
Lineage: Bacteria
Description: partial 16S ribosomal RNA
Rfam family: Bacterial small subunit ribosomal RNA
Source: RNAcentral
GUCCACGCUGUAAACGAUGAGCACUAGGUGUCGCGGGUAUUGACCCCUGCGGUGCCGCAGCUAACGCAUUAAGUGCUCCGCCUGGGGACUACGGCCGCAAGGUUAAAACUCAAAGGAAUUGACGGGGGCCCGCACAAGCGGUGGAGCAUGUGGUUCAAUUCGACGCAACGCGAAGAACCUUACCUGGGCUAGACAACGGAGGACAGCUCCAGAGAUGGGGUCUUCCCUUCGGGGACCUCCGGUUCAGGUGCUGCAUGGCUGUCGU